Molecule: long non-coding RNA, 3806 nt
Filed under: Triticum aestivum (bread wheat)
Lineage: Eukaryota; Viridiplantae; Streptophyta; Magnoliopsida; Poales; Poaceae
Description: long non-coding RNA (TAES_LNC023632)
Source: RNAcentral
CCGUUUGCCAAUAUCUGAUUCUUUUGCGAUUUGUUUACUACAAAUGUCAUAGUGAUCAUGAGAACCAGCCCUGCUGCCCGCUAGCAAAUCAUUAGGCCUGCGAAACAAUUCAGUGAAGAAGUCAAAAUAAAUUAUAAUUUAUCAUCUGAAAAAAGAAAUUGACAGUGAUGAUUGGCAUUCUUUGUUCAUCACUUUAUAUUAUUCAUUUCUUUCUGCUUGUGAUUCACUGAUUCUUAUAACCCAUAGCAUUUUCCAGAAUUCUAAUGGUUAUUCUGGAUUGCCAAAAUUUUGACACUGAUAUGGAACAACAGUGAAAAUAUCACUGCAUGAGUCAUGACAACAAUGAUGGCAAUGCUAAGGGCCCAAGGAUGAGGAACUAGGAUUUCAGGAGGUUUAGCAAUGUUCCGUAACCAAGUAUUUCUAUUGAUAGGCAAACAGUUGGGGAUAGCCCUAUGGAGAUAAACAGCAAGUAGUAAGAAUGUAUAAGAGCAAUUAAAUAAAGGUGCUCUCAAGAUCAAAGAAAGAAGAAGAAAAGAUACUAUGUAAUACAGUAUAACCAAUAUAGACUUGAAAGCAAUUUCUAAUUACUAAUCACUAUGAGUUAGUGGACCAAGGUCCAAUCAACGGUCGUUCCCUAGUUACUGAGAGCAGUAGGUACGGUUGACGGCCUUCUCUGUUCCAAAAUUCAUUAAUUUUGUAACUAAGCUGAAAACUAACAAAAUUUGAAAAGCACCCUAAAAAUGACAACAGAAACAGAACAUAUGAUUCAUCCAAUUUAAAACUAAAUAUGCUUGUGAACUGAGAGAGAAAUCUAAGCUAUCAUUGUAAUUCUGCUGCAAUUACCUUGUGUUAUGAUUUACUCUGUUUGUCAUGUUUUCCCUUUCUGAAGCAUCACCAAAAUGUGUUUUAUCAUGUUCCCGAAUAGCAGCUCUAAAAAUAGUGCAGCAAAGUGACGUCAAAAUUAAUUAUGAAAAAGAGUAUAUAUAAGUGUCUAUUUUCUAUAAAUACAUGCUGCUCUAUUCCUGUAUUGAAAAGAAAACAGGUUAUGAAUCUCAGAAGUUCUUCUUUUUUUUGAGAAAAAAAAUACUGCAGGUAAAUAUGCUCAUGACAUCAUUGCUAGCCGAGGCCGUCCUGCUGCAUGACAUUAAUGCUAAAUUCUACUGUAAGAGAAUUGACAAUGUUACAAUAAAGAAAUUUGCUGCUAGUGUCAGCAUCACUUUCAAUAGAGGAACCUGUUUAAAGAAGACAGUUCUUAUGGAAGCAGUAAAGGAGAGCCACUAUGAUGCAUGUAUAGAUCAUAUUCAACUCUCUUCCAUACAAGAUGUUGUACCAUCAUAUCAUAAAUUCCUUUCCAGGCAUGAAUUUUUUUCCUACCAGGAUUACAACUAAAUAAACUCAGGGUCGGGGUAGUGUAUAAACAAGAAAUUAUUAUAUCUCUAUAAAGCACACACCUAGCACCUUAGUCUCCCAGAAAUUAGUACAAGACAUUGGAUUAAUACAACUCUACAAGGUACUAACAGGUAUUAGCAAUUACCUUGUGUUAUGAUUUACUCCUCCUCUUGUCAUGUUCUCCCAUUCCGAAGCAUCACCAAAAUGUGUUUUAUCUUCCAAAAUGACGGCUCUAAAAAUAGCGCAGCGAAGUGACGUCAAAAUUAAUUAUGACAAAGAGUUGUAUAAAUACAUGCUGCUCUACUCCUAUAAUGAAAAUAAAGCAGGUUAUGAAUCUCAGAAGUUAAUUUUUUUCCGAGAAAAAAAAAACUGCAGGUAAACAUGCUAAUGGCAUCAUUGAUCGUAGAGGCCGUCCUGCUGCAUGACAUUCAUCCUAAAUUCUACUGUAAGAGAAUUGACAAUGUUACACUGAAGAAAUUUGCUGCUAGGUGUCAGGAUCCUAAAUACUGCAGAAAUUUGCUGUUUAAAGAAGACAGUUCUAUGGAAGCAAUAAAGGAGAGCCCCAGUGAUCCAUGUAUAGAUCAUAUUACACUCUCUUUCACACAUGAUGUUAUACCAUCAUACCAUAAAUUUCUUUCCAGGCAUGGGUUCUUUUUCUUACCAGGAUUACAAUAAACAAAUUCACAGGAAGGUAGGGUACAAAUAAACAAGAAAUUAUUAUAAUCUCUAUAAAGCACACACCUAGCACCUUAGUCUCGCAGAUAUUAGUACAAGACAUUGGAUUACUACAACUCUACAAGAUACUAACAGGUAUUUGCAUGAUUAUGCCCACGCGAAUAGAAACAAUGUUUUGUAACAAGGCACUUCUGGAAUAAAAGUUAGAGCAAUGAUCACAUUAAUAACUGGGGCAACAAAUCUGAGAAAGUUAGUGUAAGCAUUCUGAACAGAUAUAUGGGCAUGCAGCAUUGGGAGUUUUACAUUACCUUCUAUCACAAGUUUGUCCAGGAAUUUCUAUAGCUUUCACAGCGCAAUGGCCAGCAUGUUUCGAACUGCCCUUCUCUUCCAGGCCCUUGAACCUAAUUAAUUAAGGACUAAGCUCACUCAAAAUGAACCUGCUCAUAAAUAAAGGAAAAAGGGCGAGAAAUAAUAGGGUUUUUUAUAAUUACCGUCUGCCGAUAUCUGAUUCGCUUGUGAUUUGUUCAUUGUGAUCAUGAGGAACAGCCCUCCUGCCCACUAGCAAAUCUUUAGGCCUGCGAAACAACUCAGUGAAGAAAAGUCAAAAUAAUUUAUCAUAUGAAAAGAAGUUGACAGUUAUGAUUGGCAUUCUUUGUUUAUCACUUUAAUUAUUCAUUUGUUUCUGUUUGUAGUUCACUGAUUCUUCAACCCAUAGCAUUGUCCAGAAUUCUAAUGGUCAUUCUUGACUUCCAAACUUUAGCUACUGAUAUGGAACAACGGUAACGAUAUCACUGCAUGAGUCAUGAAAAAAUUCAUUAACUUUCUAACUAAGCUGAAACUAACAAAUUUUAAAAGGCGCCCGAAAAACGACAACAGAAAUAGAACAUAUGAUUCAUCCAAUUUAAAACUAAAUAUGCUUGUGAACUGAGAGAGAAAUGUAAAUUAUAAGUGUAAUUCUGUUGCAAUUACCUUGUGUUAUGAUUUACUCCACUGUUUGUCAUGUUCUCCCUUUCUGAAGCAUCACCAAAAUGUGUUUUAUCAUGUUCCAGAAUAGCAGCUCUAAAAAUAGUGCAGCGAAGUGACGUCAAAAUUAAUUAUGACAAAGAGCAUACAUAAGUGUCUGUCUUGUAUAAAUACAUGCUGCUCUACUCCUAUAAUGAAAAUAAAGCAGGCUAUGAAUCUCAGAAGUUCUUUUUUUCUGAGAAAAAAACUACUGCAGGUAAACAUGCUCAUGACAUCAUUGUAGCAGAGGCCGUCCUGCUGCCUGACAUUAAUGCUAAAUUUUACUGUAAGAGAAUUGACAAUGUUAUAACAAAGAAAUUUGCUGCUAGUGUCAGCAGCACUUUCAAUAGAGGAACAUGUUUAAAGAAGACAGUUCUUAUGGAAGCAGUAAAGGAGAGCCACUAUGAUGCAUGUAUAGAUCGUAUUCAACUCUCUUCCAUACAAGAUGCUAUACCAUCAUAUUAUAAAUUCCUUUCUAGGCAUGAAUUUUUUUUCCUACCAGGAUUACAACUAAACAAACUCAGGGUAGUGUAUAAACAAGAAAUUCUUAUAAUCUCUAUAAGUACACACCUAGCGCCUUAGUCUCCCAGAAAUUAGUACAAGACAUUGGAUUACUACAACUCUACAAGGUACUAGCAGGUAUUUGCAAUUACCUUGUGUUAUGAUUUACUCCUCCUCUUGUCAUGUUCUCCCAUUCCAAAGCAUCACCAAAAUGUGUUUUAUCUCCCAAAAUAACGGCA